AUGAACUUCAGCUUAGUCAUUUAUGGUGAUGCUGUGGCAAUACAUUUGUAAUGAAUAAACUGCAAUGCGUUGUGAAAUUGGAAAGGCAAGGUUGAAUCCAUGAAUACCACCAUCAUUAUAAGAGGCUAUUCUGAGCUGUACGUCUCUAGGGGAGCCAUGAUGACGCUAUAAGCAAGUGGAAAGAGCUUUAGGGAAACAGAAGCGACCCAGCUGCAAACUGACCCGGCGGCGAUAACAGGCAUUGCAAACAUGUUCACACUGUUGGCUUUGAUGGCACUAUUGAUUGUCCCGGUUGAGUCGGACGUUUCAAACACAGAUCAGUGGAAAUCUCUGAGUAACCCACAGAGCAGGAACCUGUUUUUUCAGAUUCUGCAGUCGUAUCUUGCAGGCAGAGACAGUGAAGCUCAAGCAAUGGACAGAAAAGCAAAUGUGAAGGAAAACAAAAACACCAAUACGCCAAAUAAUGGUUAUGACAAAUACAACCUCUUUCUGCACAAUGACAUUUAUGAUGCUUAGCUGAAUAUUGUCCUUUUAGUUCUGUGAUGUUUAAUGUCUACUACAAAGUAAAUUACAGUUUAAAAAAUGUUAUUAUAUUAUUAUUAAUGCACACAAAGUCAUUUUGUCUGUAAUGAUCUUUUACAUAGUAAAACCUCUUGCUUAACAAUUUCCUGCCUGUAUCCCUUUCUGUUUUCUUUAUCAAUUGUUGAGGGAAUACUAGAUGUAAAUUAUUCAUAUAUUUUCUAUAUUUUAAAUUCUUGGUGGCUUCAAUAUCUACCUGAUUUUUU
Paramisgurnus dabryanus is the source of this 785-nucleotide non-coding RNA. The record is from RefSeq and is a predicted model, not a curated record. NCBI's taxonomy places the organism in Eukaryota, Metazoa, Chordata, Actinopteri, Cypriniformes, Cobitidae.